RNAcentral lists this ribosomal RNA (257 nucleotides) under uncultured bacterium. Its description in RNAcentral is "partial 16S ribosomal RNA". It matches the Rfam family "Bacterial small subunit ribosomal RNA", at positions 524 to 776 of the family's 1533-position model. The record is from RNAcentral.
UACAGAGACCUCAAGCGUUAUCCGGAAUCAUUGGGCGUAAAGCGUACCGAUAGGUGGCUUACAAAGUCAGAAGUGAAAUCCUAAGGCUUAACCUUGGGAAUGUCUUUUGAAACUUGUGAGCUAGAGGGGCAAAGAGGAAGCUGGAACGAACGGUGUAGUAGUGAAAUGCGUUGAUAUCGUUCGGAACACCAAUAGCGUAGGCAGGCUUCUGGGUGCCACCUGACACUGCUAGGACGAGAGCGUGGGGAGCGAAUGGG